RNAcentral lists this long non-coding RNA (541 nucleotides) under Medicago truncatula (barrel medic). RNAcentral's name for it is "long non-coding RNA (MTRU_LNC002606)". The record is from RNAcentral. Lineage: Eukaryota; Viridiplantae; Streptophyta; Magnoliopsida; Fabales; Fabaceae.
GAGCGCGUUCACCACUUGCGUCAGGCUACAUGAUGGAAAAUGUGUUUGGAUUGCAGGAGGAGAGGUGAGUGGUUAUGGAGGUUGUUGGCGGCGGCUAGGGUAGCAGGAGAGAGAACAUAGCGAUUUCACCUAUCUGUCCCAAACCCAACUACUUGAAGAGAACAACAAUGCAAGUAAGGUUGUAUCGCGUGUUUCCUAUAUGCUUCCUUCAAAGAUAAAAUCAAACAAACAUCUUUCUUAUUGUCAUCUACUUUUUCCAAUUUCCUGCAAACAAUAAAAAUUGGAUUGAUCACUUACAAGUUACAACAAACAAAAGUACAUCAAGAGUAGUUAGGUUGGACAUCCUAUGCUUCUCUUUACAAAGAAGAAUGCACCAAUAAAAGGGGGCCGUGAGAAUUUCAAAACUCAUUCUUAAUUUCUCUUUAUAAAACCACCAUAAGUUUCAACAUUUAACAUAUCAUCUCAACCUCUCUAACAACUCAUUACCAUAACUCACCUCCUUUACUAAAAUCAUUCAUAAGCACACAUGGUUUCAUUUCCU